UGAAAAGCAAUCAGGAAAGUAAAUUUUUAUCUGCAAUCGUUUUAAUUCUUCAACACGGAAGCCUGAACUCGAAGAUCAAGUCGGUCCGAGUUCUGGACUCACUAGCACUUGACUCGGAAUCCAAACGCAGGAUCUCCGACUCACAAGACCUUAUAUCCAUCCUUCUCCAGCUCCUGAAAACAAAUAACAACGGAUCCUUAAACGACGCCGUUACUUCCAUUUUAACCACCAUUUCAAUAACGCGCUCCAUCAGAUCCCGCCUCAUCGAAAACGGCAUCGUUGAAAUCCUAUCAAACUCGCUCACCGAAAAGUCGUUGAAGUUGUUAGCAACGCUUAGCACUUGCAGCGAAGGGAGGUCAGCAAUCAGUUCCGAGCCAAAAUGCGCGGCAGCGAUCGUAGAAAAGCUCUUGAAGGUGUCGAAAAGGGGGACGGAGGACGCCGUAACGGUGUUGUGGAGCACGUGUUGCUUGAGCAAAGAGGAGAAAGUGAAAGAAGCGGUAGUAAAAGGGAAUGGGGUGACGAAGAUAUUAGUAAUAAUGCAAAGAGAAGGGGAAGGGAAUGUGAAGAUGAUGUGCAGGGAUUUGGUUAAGGCUCUAAGAGCUGUAUGUAAAGAUUGGUGUUUAGGCAGUUAUGAAACCAAAACUACACAUAUUAGACCUUGUUGAGGAGCAUUCUUUAUUUUUGGACAUAAAUUUACACACAAGAUUCAUGUAGUUACCACUUAGUUCAAAGGAAACACGAUUCUAUGCUUUUUUUUUUUGUUAGAAACAUUAUUCCUGGAAUUCCCAUCUUCCCUUCCUAUGGGAGCUUUCAACAGGUAGGCGAACCUCACUUGAGUUCACAGGCUGUACCAUUCAACCAUCACAUUUGACCUGUCACUUGGUUUUGGACCGGCUUUUUUAAAUUUUAUUCCACUUAAUUUUUAAAUUUAAAAUAAAAUUUUAUUUAAUUGAUUUGAAUUUAUUAAAAAAUUAAUGGCUAUUGAACUAAAAUAUAAUAAAACUAAGAUUACAUUUUUACCACCCAAUUAUCAAAAAUUACAUUGUAAUUAUCCAUCUAUUAACCGGUUAAGUUGACCACCUAUUUGCCAUAUAUCUUAAAUAUAUUUAACGAAAACAAAACCCUAACUCCUUUAAUAUAAAGAAAAACCCUAAUAAACAUUUGUCUAUUUAGAUUGUGGUAUGUGAUGUGAUACAAGUUUUGAUAUAAGUAUUGGCACAACAACAUGAACAAAAUAGAAAACAUUAGAAUGAACACAAAUAAAUUGGUAAUGUAAUUCAGUGCACCAUCAACUUGUGCGAGACCUUGCCUAGAGAAAUCCAUUGCUAAACUCGUGACAAAAACAAUGAUUCAAGUCCAAUAUAUUUUAACCCUCGGAUAAUUACAGACUCACCCAAAUGCAUUUAGUACGAACUCUCUCUAAACAACCUCUCCUUGUAAAGGCUCUUAACUAUUCAUUCAAAGAUGAAUAAAAAAUAAAAUAUGCAUUCAAUAAAAGUUCUUUACCAUGAACAUAUAACCGCUCCCUAAAUUUUAUUAAAAAAAAUCUAAGUACAUCCAAUUUUAUCCCACGAAUCAUCCAUAUAUAUAUAUAAGCUUUAAAUAAUCUCAAAAUCAUCCCCAUGUAAGAUGAGAUAAAAUUAAUUUAAUUUGAAAAGAUUUAUCUUGGAAUUUCAUAUCCAAGCAUUUUUAAAUAAAUUAUUUUCAAGCCUUUAUAUUAUUUUCAAUUUUAAAUCUAUGUUUGGGCUAAAAUUCUUCAUAAGCUUGCUGAAAAGUUACAUUAUGAGAUAAGGAUAGAAGGUCUUUAAGGAUCAUAUUUGAAAUCGAACUCUUCUAUCUCGGAGCCAUGUGUUACAUCAAGUACAUAGAUAACCUAUGUAUAUUCCUCCGUUUUUGUUGCUUAUAAGAUAAAUAUAAAGAUAUAUACAAAGUUAAAAACUUUUAACAAUAAAACUGAUGCAUAGACAAGUUGUGGUUUGUCAUGGGGCACAACUUGUAGCACAAACAUUUUUGACAAAACCUCUCCAACAAAAACAAGAACAGUAGGAAACAAGAAUCACAUGUUAAAAGAAUUUCAAACUGAAUGAAAACCUGGAUAGCAACUUCGUCUAUGUCCUCCUCUUCGACUAAAAUCUAAAGCAGUUGUGGUAGUAGGUGUGCCAACAUUAAAUACCCCAUGGUUUUGGGUUACAAACACUACAACAAAACAGGCUAUUAGCGUCGCUUUUUCACAUAAACGUCGCUAAAGAUCAUGUUCUUUAGCGGCGCUAAUUUUUCAAACGCCGCUAAAGAACAUGACCUUUAGCGACGCUUUUUCAUACAUGCCGCUAAAGGUGAUGUUCUUUAGCGGCGCUAUUGUUACAAACGCCGCUAAAGACCAUGACAUUUAGCGGCGCUUUUUACCACAAUCACCGCUAAAGAACAUCACCUUUAGCGGCGCUUUUAUCACAAACGCCGCUAAAGGUCAUGUUCUUUAGCAGUGCUUUACGGUAAAUGCCACUAACUUUGGCAGAUUUCUAACAUUCAUUUUCAUCCAUAUGCGACCCUUCUUGUAACAUGAAAACCAACCAAAAGCAGUAAAUUCAAAUGAUACUUCAAAUUCAACAAAAGAUAUAUGAUAUAAAUUGAUAAAUGAAGUAUAAUUCAUAUUAUUCUUACAAUAAUGUUAAAAGUUAAAAUGCUAAAAAUAUUUAUACGGUAGUUUAAGAUGGCAAAUUUUGCUACUGCUAAAACAUCUUCAUCAUAUUCUGAAGUUAUUGUUGGAGUUCGUCGUACUUUCUGCUCUGCUCUGCUUCCCUCGCUGCUGCCUCUGCUUCCCUCGUUGCUGCCUCUGCUUUAAGUUGUAGCUGGAGUGCUUCAUAUUUUCUUUGAACCUCAGCUUCUCUCGAUGUUGCCUCUACUUUAAGUUGUAGCUGGAGUGCUUCAUAUUUUCUUUGAACCUCAGCUUCUCUUGAUGCUGCCUCCGUUUUUGAUUGAGUAAUUUGCUCAACUGUGCUUGCUUGCAUCUGAGCCAUCUGGUCUCUUAAUCUCUGAACUUCAGCUUGAGCCUAACUCCCCGAAUGCAUGUAUUGCUGCGAGCUGGAUCCAAAAUAUUGGGUUGGGUUAACAAAAGAUCCUUGAAAUCGAACUCGACCAUACCUUUCAGGUCCCAAAACUUCAGUAAUAAUUCCGUUAUCAAUGUCAUCAAGAUGAACAAAACUAUCACUUGAAGCAAUCGCUUCGUACUCUAACUUUUUAUCUUUUAGUUUCUCCUAAUAAAUAAAUCAAAUAGUUAGAAACGCAAUAUAUAUUAUAAAAACAAAUGCAUUAUAAAAUAAACACUAUAAAUAUUUAAAACAUAUCAAAUUUUAUUAAGUAAACAUACCAUAAUUUCUGCAGCUUCAGGAGUCAUAGGAGAUCCAUCUUUCUUCCUAUGUGUAAUGUCAAAAAGCUUAAGGCGUCCAACUUUUUGACCGGAUGACAGUUCCUACAAUAUAGUAGUAAAAGUAUUAUUUAAUGGAAAGUAAUAAAUAUUUGACACUAUUAAUAAAUUCAAAAUACCUCAGCCUCAGCUACACAAGCGAAACUUUUUGACCCAACUGUGUGAGUGGAUUUCUGUUUUUGCCUGCUGCUUUUUCCAACUCGUUUACGAUCCUACAUUAUGAAAUUAUUAUUACGUAUAUAGUAAAUACUAUAAACCGAAAUAAUUAUAAGAGUUUGGAAGUACGUAAUAUCUCUCCUUUCUUUGAAUUCCAAAAUCUAACCGCAUCUUCUCAUUGGUACCUCAGCAUUCCCGGCGGGACAUUUUUCAAUUUCUCUUCGAGGGUUAUUUUUGUCUUAAAAUAAUUUUUCUUUAAAGUACUUUUAUGGUCUCUCCAUGUUUUUCCCAAUGCCUUCUUGAUAUAAUUAUCCGAGACCUCUAAAGCAAACCUUGCCUACAAAAAAAAACAAGUUUAGAAAGUAAAUAUAAAUGAAACUUAAAGCCAAGUAUUAUAAAUUACAUUAACGUUUUAUUACCUUAAUAUUAUCGAGAGCUUGAUUUUUGUUACUAUUAGGCAUUUCUCGCCAUGACUCGUAGUUGAUAGGCAACAUAUUUGCAUUUCGUGCUAUUAUGCUCAAAUAUCCUGCUAAAAGUCGAGCUUCUGAUCCAACAGGCUGACCAAAACUGUUUCUACAUACUUUGACAUGCUCGACAGGAUCUAACUCGUAUAAAUAUUUAAGUAGCGUACAUCCUCGACCUCUGCGCGUCCCACCACUUUCAGCUGAAAAAUGGUAUAUUAUAAUAUAAGAAUUUGAAAAAGAAAUCAACAAUAAGUCAGCACGCAUGUAAAUUAAAUGUAAAAUUACUUUGAAUUUCUAUAGGUUCGUCAGGUGUAUUCGGAACAUUCGAAGAUCCAAUAGCAGUUUGUUGUUCACUAUUUGUUUCUUUCGAGUUUGGAGUAUUUUGAACAAUGCUUAGAUCUCGCAAUUUUCUUCUAGGCAUUUUAUCUGCAAUACACAUAAAAUAGUUGAAAACUUAGUAACUAAUUACAACAAUAGCAACACAUAUAAAAUAGUUGAAAUAUUUAAUAAGACCAAGAUUUAAAUUAUGAUAUUUUGUAUAAUUAAAAAACCGUAAAAUUUUACUACAUCAUAAUUCGUAAAUAUCUUCAUCCAUAUCCUGGCGAACCCAUUGAAAUUGUGUACUAGUACUAGAGAUAUUUUCGUUUAAGUUUUGUUCUGGAAAAGGAAAAGUUUUUGAUCUGUCGUCGAUGUCAUCUCUACUUCCAUUGCCCAUGUCAAACAAGUCUCUAGGGAUUUUACGGAGUACAACGUACCAACCCUUAUCAGUUGGAUCUUUUGAGUAAAAAAUAUGUUUCACUUGAGAAGAAAAUACAUACGACUCAUCUAUCAAUUGUUGUCCUGUGUGAAUCAAUCGAGAGAAGUUCACCAUUGUAAAACCAAAUUGAUCUUGCUUAAUUCCACGAUCAGUAUUAACAUCAGCCCAAUCACCUCGAAAUAAGACAACUUUUCAUUUGUCGUAGUAAUCCAACUCAAUUAUGUCAGUAAGAAGUCUGAAAUACUCCACAUUUCCCUCAACAGGAUUAUUGUCCCUAGCACUAGCAUAACUUGUACUUGAGGAAUUAACAACUAUUCCACAAUUUUGAGUUCUCCUCAAUCUCUCGCAAUAUUUUGUAUGAAAUCUGAAUCUGUUGAUGAGGAAGGCACUAUAUCUUUUAACCACUCUAUUCAGACCUUGAGAAAGCCAUUUAACUUCGUCAUUGACGUUCUUCCCACUCCAAACCUAUUGAAUCGAAAGUAAACUAAGUAAUUAUAAAUGUUAUGAUAAAACAUUAUUAUUUGUCAAUGAAAGCUUCAAUUGCAUACCGUUUGGCUUAACCAUUCAUGAAAAGAUUCUGUGAACAACUUAUUGAUCUCUCGAUGUUGUAAUCUUCGGGAGCGCGAACGAGAUCUCAAGAUUUGUUUGUACUUACUAUGUUAAAAAAAAGUUCACUUUGUUAGAAGAUAAACAAUUUAUAAUUGAUGAAUAUUUAUCAAAUUCUAGAACUUACUUCCGUAAUGGUUCUAUUCAAUCGUGGUGAAAUAGAACAUAUCGAUGUGCUUGUACCCACGAUCUAUCAUCUAAUUCUACAAUUUCAGCUUUGCCGAUUGGUUCUCCAAAACUUUGAAACAAAUAAGUUUCGGCGAAGUUAUGAUCAGUGAGCCCAGCAUUUCUACUUGGUCUGUUCAACCUUGUUUCAACAUCUUCCAAAUAUCUUGAACAGAAAGUCAUACAUUCCUCUGCCAAGUAGCCUUCCAUAAUCGAUCCUUCUGGAUAACGCUUGUUGCGGCAGUAAGACUUCAAUUUGGAUAGGAACCUAAACACAAUAUACAACAUUAUCAAAACUUGUAACUUAAAGCAUAUUGGCGAAUGAAGGAAAAUUUUACAAAUAAAUUAACACCUUUCUAUGAGAUACCACUACACCAAAACAGGCUUUUAGCGGCGUUUUUUUAGGCCUUUAGCGGCGCUUUUUAGCGCCGCAGAAACUUUUAGCGGCGCUUUAAUAAGCGCCGCAAUAGAAGCCGCUAAAGAUUGCGCCGCUAAAGACCCUAGUCUAUAGCGGCGCUUAUCUCACAAACGCCGCUGAAGAGUAAGAGCUUUACCGGCGCUUUAGUAGAAGCGCCGCUGAAGAGUAAUACCUUUAGCGGCGUUUUUGGUAUAAGCGCCGUUAUAGACUAGGGUCUUUUAGCGGCGCUUUAAUAAGCGCCGCAACAGAAGCCGCUAAAGAUUGCUCCGCUAAAGACUCUAGUCUAUAGCGGCGCUUAUAUCACAAACGCCGCUGAAGAGUAAGAGCUUUAAAGACCCUGAUCUAUAGCGGCGUUUUGGUCACAAACGCCACUAAAGACCCUGAUCUAUAGCGGCGCUUUUACCAAAAACGCCGCUAAAGACCCUAUUCUAUAGCGGCGCUUAUACCAAAAAACGCCGCUAAAGACUAACACCUUUAGUGGCGUUUUUUUAAAAACGCCACUAAAUUUGGCAGAUUUGUAAAAUAAAUUUUUAUAUAUUUUCAGCCCUCCUGUAAAAAAACAAAUCAGAAGAAAUCAUAUCUAAACCAGCCAAAAGUAAUAAAUCUAUAUAUUAAACAAAUAAUAUAAUAAAUAUCAAUAAAUAUUAUAAAAUUCGUAUUAUUCGUACAAAAAUGUUAAAAGUUAAAAUGAUAAUUCAAAGUAAAAAUUGAAGUAUAUUUACACGAUAGUCUAAGACGGCGGCGGUUGCGACUGCUGAAACAUCUUCAUCAUACUCUGGAGCUGCUGCUGGAGUUCAUCGAACUUUUGACGCUGCUCUGCUUCCCUCGCUGCAGCCUCUACUUCCCUCGCUUUAGCCUCUGCUUCCCUCUUAGCAGCCUGUACUUCUCUCGCUGCCGCCUCUGCUUCUCUUGCUGCCGCAUCUGCUCUAAGCUGCUGCUGGAGUUCUUCAUACUUUUGUUGAACCUCAGCUUCUCUCGCUGCUGCAUCUGCUUUAAGUUGUAGCUGGAGUUCUUCAUAUCUUCUUUGAACAUCAGCUUCUCUCGAUGUUGCCUCCGCUUUCAGUUGUGUAAUUUGCUCAGCUCUUGUCGCUUACAUCUGAGCCAUCUGGUCUCUUAACCUUUGAACUUCAGCUUCAGCUCGACUCCCCGAAGGCAUAUAUUGUUGCGAGCUAGAUCCAAAAUAUUGGGAUGGGUUAACAAAAGAUCCUUGAAAUCGAACCCGACCAUACCUUUCAGGACCCAAAACUUCAGUGAUAAUCCGGUUAUCAAUGUCGUCAAUAUGAACAGAACUAUCACUGGAAGCAAUCGCUUCGUACUCUGCCUUUUUAUCCUUCAAUUUUUCCUAAAAAAUAAAUCACAUAGUUAGGAACGCAAUAUAUAUUAAAAAACCGAAUGCAACAUAACUUAACAAUAUUUGCAUUACAAUAAAUGAAAUAAAUAAUUAGAAAGUAAACACUAUAAAUAAUUAAAACAAGUGAAAUUGUAUUAAGCAAACGUACCAUAAUUUCUGCAGCUUCAGGAGUCAUAGGGUUACCAUCUUUCUUCCUAUGUGUAAUGUCAAAAAGUUGAAGUCGUCCAACUUUUUGACCGGACGACAGUUCCUACAAUACAAUAGUAAAAAUAUUAAUUGAUAGAAAGUAUUAAAUAUCUGCCAAUAUUAAAAAAUUCAAAAUACCUCUGCAUGAGCUACACACGCAAAACUUUUCGACCCAGCUGUGUGAGUGAAUUUUUGUUGCUGCCUACUUUGUUUUCCAACUUUUUCACGAUCCUACAUUAUGAAAUUAUUAGUACGUUAAUUAGGAAAUACUAUACACCAAAAUAAUUACAAAAUUUUAUAAGUUACACAUACCUCUCCUUUCUUCGAAGUCCAAAAUCUAACGACCUCUUCCCACUGGUACCUCAGCAUUCCCGGCGGGACAUUUUGUAAUCUCUCGUCGAGUGUUGUUUUUGUCUUAAAAUAUUCUUUCUUUAAAGUACUCUUAUGGUCUCUCCAUCUUUUUCCCAAUGCCUUCUUUACAUAAGCAUCGGAGNNNNNNNNNNNNNNNNNNNNNNNNNNNNNNNNNNNNNNNNNNNNNNNNNNNNNNNNNNNNNNNNNNNNNNNNNNNNNNNNNNNNNNNNNNNNNNNNNNNNNNNNNNNNNNNNNNNNNNNNNNNNNNNNNNNNNNNNNNNNNNNNNNNNNNNNNNNNNNNNNNNNNNNNNNNNNNNNNNNNNNNNNNNNNNNNNNNNNNNNNNNNNNNNNNNNNNNNNNNNNNNNNNNNNNNNNNNNNNNNNNNNNNNNNNNNNNNNNNNNNNNNNNNNNNNNNNNNNNNNNNNNNNNNNNNNNNNNNNNNNNNNNNNNNNNNNNNNNNNNNNNNNNNNNNNNNNNNNNNNNNNNNNNNNNNNNNNNNNNNNNNNNNNNNNNNNNNNNNNNNNNNNNNNNNNNNNNNNNNNNNNNNNNNNNNNNNNNNNNNNNNNNNNNNNNNNNNNNNNNNNNNNNNNNNNNNNNNNNNNNNNNNNNNNNNNNNNNNNNNNNNNNNNNNNNNNNNNNNNNNNNNNNNNNNNNNNNNNNNNNNNNNNNNNNNNNNNNNNNNUGCGGUGCGAUCGCACUUUUCUUCUAGGCAUUUUAUCUGCAAUACAAAUAAAUUAGUUGAAAACAUAGUAUACAAUUACAACAAUAAUAUCACAUAUAAAAUAGUUGAAAUAUCAUCAUUCGUAAAUAUAUACAUACAUAAUCGUAAAAGCUUACUACAUUAUAAUUCGUAAAUAUCUUCAUCCGUAUCCUGGCGGACCCAUCCAAAUUGUGUACUAGUACUACGGAUGUUUUCAUUUAAGUUCUGUUCUGGAAAUGGUAAAGUUUGUGUUCUGUCGUCAAUGUCAUCUCUACUUCCACUGCCCAUGUCAAACAAGUCUCUAGGGAUGUUACGGAGUACAACGUACCAACCCUCAUCAGUUGGAUCUUUUGAGUAAAAAACUUGUUUGACUUGAGAAGGAAAUACAUACGGCUCAUCAAUCAAUUGUUGUCCUGUGUGAAUCAAUCGAGCGAAGUUUACCAUUGUGAAACCAAACUGAUCUUGCUUGAUUCCACGUGCAGUAUUAACAUCUGCCCAAUCACCUCGAAAUAAGACAACUUUCCAUUUGCCGUAGUAAUCCAACUCAGUUAUGUCAGUAAGAAGUCCAAAAUAUUCCACAUUUCCCUCCACAGGAUUAUUGUCCCUAGCACUAGCAUAACUUGUAAUUGAGGAAUUAACAACUAUUCCACAAUUUUGCGUUCUCCUCAAUCUCUCGCGAUAUUUUGUAUGAAAUCUGAAUCCGUUUAUGAGACGCACUAUAUCUUUUACCACCCGAUUUGGACCUUAGAAAGCAUUUAACUCGUCGUGACGUUCUUCCCNNNNNNNNNNNNNNNNNNNNNNNNNNNNNNNNNNNNNNNNNNNNNNNNNNNNNNNNNNNNNNNNNNNNNNNNNNNNNNNNNNNNNNNNNNNNNNNNNNNNNNAACCAUUCAUUCACGACAUAAAUACUACACUUAUUGAUAUCUCGAUGUUGUGUUCUUCGGGAGCGCGAACGAGAUCUCAAUAUUUGUUUGUACUCACUAUGUUAAAAAAAUGUUCAGUUUGUUAGGCUAUAAACAAUUUUUAAAUGAUGAAUAUUUAUCAAAUUUCUAGAACUUACUUGCGUAAAGGUUCCAUUGAUUCGUGGUGAAACAGAACAUAUCGAUGUGCUUGUACCCACUAUAAAUCAUCUAAUUCUGUAAUUUCAACUUUACCGAUUGGUUCUCCAAAACUUUGGAACAAAUAAUUAUCGGCAAAGUUAUGAUCCGUGAGUCUAGCAUUUCUAUUAGGUCUGUUCAACCGUGUUUCAACAUCUUCCAAAUAUCUUGAACAGAAGGUCAUACAUUCCUCUGCUAAGUAGCCUUCAGCAAUCGAUCCUUCUGGAUAACGCUUGUUGCGGCAAUAAGACUUUAAUUUGGACAGGAACCUAAACACGAUAUACAACAUUAUCAAAAGUUGUAACUAAAGUCAUAGGUGAACAAAGGAAAAUUUUAAAAAUUGUAAUUAACACCUUUCUAUGGGAUACAUCCAUCGAUAGAAAACGGGUCCGCCAAGAAUUGCUUCACGUAGGAGAUGGAUUAUCAAGUGAACCAUAAUAGUGAAGAAGGAAGGUGGGAAAAUUUUCUCCAUGUUGCAUAAAGUUAAAGUGGCUCGAUCCUGUACCUUCUGAAGUUCUUGAACAUCCAAAACUUUGCCACAAAUGGCUUUCAUUAUAUUGGAUAGUUCAAUUAUACAAGAUGUCACCUUCUUGGAAAUACAACAUCGUAGAGCAACUGGCAGUAAAUCUUGCAUCAAGAUGUGAUAGUCAAGUGAUUUUAGCGAAUAUAGUCUUCGAUCUUUAACACUAACACAUUGAGAUAUAUUUGAUGCAUACGCAUCUGGAACCUUUAUAUCCUUCAACACCAUGCAGAACACUUCUUUCUCUGUCUUCGACAUUGAGAAAAUAGAAGGUGGCAACCGAUAUUUACCAUUCGGAAGUGGAUUCGGAUAAAGAUCAGGUCGAAUUCCCAUCUGAACUAAAUCAAGUCGACUCUGAAGAUUGUCUUUUGAUUUUCCGUCUACAUUCAAAAUUGUACAGACAAUGUUCUCGCAGACAUUUUUCUCAAUAUGCAUAACAUCAAGAUUGUGUCGUAAAAGGUGGUGCUCCCAAUAAGGCAACUCAAAAAAAAUACUUCUUUUCUUCCACAAGUCCGCCUCAUUAGGAUCAUCCUCUUCAUCAGAGUUAUCAUCAGCUUCAUCAUUUGAUCUUCUAUUUCUUUGCGUGUUUGCCGGUUGAUUCAUCUUCCCAUAACUGAAAUUCAUAUCUUCCAACAUUAACAAGAUUUCAGAUCCACUUGUCUGCGAAGGAGCUUCUCUGAACUCUUCAGUACCGUCAAAUGCCGAACUUUGAAAUCUAAAUCUAUGAUUUUCUGGUAACCACCGACGAUGCCCCAUGUAAGAGAACUUCUUCCCAUUGUAUAACCAUUGCGAACAUGUUUGUGCAGCACAACAAGGGCACGCAUAACGACCAUUGGUACUCCAACCGGAUAAAUUGGCAUAAGCGGGGAAGUCAUUAAUGGUCUACAUCAAAGCUGCACGUAAAUUAAAGUUCUCCUUUCUCAGCACAUCGUAUGUCUCGACACCAGCUCAUAAUUGUUUUAACUCUUCAAUAAGUGGCUGUAAAUAAAUGUCGAUAUCAUUCCCGGGCCCUUUCUCUCCAGGGAUAAUCAUAGAUAAGAUAAGGGAAUAUUGCUUCAUGCAAAUCCACGGAGGCAGAUUGUAAGGAACAAGCACUACUGGCCAAGUACUGUAUGCAGUACUCAUGAUCUUGUAAGGAUUAAAUCUAUCAGAUGCUAGGCCAAGCCUCACACUCCUGGGAUUGCUUGCAAAGCUUGGAAAUUUAUUGUCAAAUGAUUUCCAAGCUAAAGAAUCUACCGGAUGCCUUAAUAGUCCAUCAUCUGUUCGUCCUUCAUGGUGCCACGUCAUUGACUCCGCUGUCUUCGACGACAUGAAUAGCCUUUGAAGCCUUGGUAUCAGCGGAAAAUACCGCAAAAUCUUGACCGGCUUCUUUCUUGACUGUGCAUCAUUUUCAUCGCUAUUCCCGUCUUCUGUGUUUCUAUUCAUCCAACGGGAUUCGCCGCAUACAUGACAGCACUGUUGGUUUAUCCGAUCGCCCCAGUACAACAUGCAAUCAUUCGGGCAACUAUGGAUUUUGUUGUACCCAAGACCUAAGUCUUUUAUCAUUUUCUUCAUAUCUUUGCAUGACUGAGGGAUUUUUGCAAACGGAAACAUUUCUCUCAAAAACUCUAACAGCAUUGUCAAUGAGUUCUCGGUCCACCCUCCCAAACAUUUUAACUGGAAAAGACGAAUGCAGAAAGACAUUUUUGAAAAUUUCGAUCCCUCAUAUAGUUCUUCGUUCAUCUCAUUAAGUAGGGCGUAGAACUUUGCCGCUUCUCCAUUCGGCUCUUCAUGAUGUACACUUCUUCCGGGUUCGGUAAAAGCAUUUCCACCGAGAUUACAGUCAUCAGAUGGUACAAAGUCGGGUGGGAACGACUGUAAACCAUGACUGUGAAUAUUAAAUGCUUCCCGCAACAUCCCUUCAAUGUUAUCCCCUCUAACAGACUGAUGGUAAGUAGUACUAUCAUAAGAUACAUCCAUCCUUGAAGAGGAAGUACUAGGCGGGCAUUCUCCAUGAAAAAACCAUUGUUUAUAACCACGAACAAACCCAUCAACAAUUAGAUGCUCAUAUACAACUUCACGAUAAUGCCAGUUUAUGUUGACACACUUCUUACACGGGCAAAGAAUCAUGUUCUCUUGGCUUGCAUAUUGAAAUGCAAAAUUUAGAAAUGUUUGUACUCCAUUUCGAUAACCGUCGCUUACCCUUGACAAAUUCAUCCAAGACCGGUCCAUUUCUUAUUUCUUGAAGCCUAAUCUUGACAAUAAAUUGCAUGGUAAGUUAUGUAUUGUGUAAGCUAUGUAAGUUGUGUAUUAUGUAAGUUAUUAUUAUACUUUAAGUUAUGUAAGUAAUGUAUUAUGUAAGUUGUGUAUAAUGUUAGUUAUGUAAGUUAUGUAAGUUAUGUAAGUAAGUUAUGUAAGUUAUCAAAGUAAUGUAUGUUAUGUAAGUUGUAAGUUAUUAUGUAUUAUGUAAGUUAAGAUGGAUUACGUAAGUUAUCAAAGUAAUGUAUGUUAUGUAAGUUGUAAGUUAUUAUGUAUUAUGUAAGUUAAGAUGGAUUACGUAAGUUAUGUAAGUUAAAUGUAUUAUGUAAGUUGUAAGUUAGAUGUAUUAUGUAAGUUGUAAGUUAUAAUGUAUUAUGUAAGUUAUGUAAGUUAAAUGUAUUAUGAAGGUUAUGUAAGUUGUGUAAGAGAUUUAAGUUAUGUGAGUUUUGUAUUAUGUAAGUUAUGUAGGUUAUUUAGGUUAUGUAAGUUUUGAGUUGUUCAGUGGUAGGUUAUUGUUAUUAAAUAUUAAUAUCUAUUAUUAUUAAAUAUUUUUUAAUAAAAAAUAAAAAUAAAUAAUUUAAUUAUAUUUUAACAUAAUUAUUGUUAAGUACAAUUUAAUAAAAUAAUAUAUAAUUUAAUAACAUUACUAAUAUAAUUAUUAAUAAUAUUUAAUAAUAAUUUUAAUAUAAUUUUAUUAUUAAGAAUAUUUCAUUGCUUAAUAUCAUUUGCUUCAAUCUAGCAUCUCACUUGUUCUCUUAAGUCAAAAUAGCCAAUAUUAAAAUGAGUUUAACAUACUGUAUGAUAAUCCAAUAAUAACAUUUUAUUUUAAUAGUCAAUUUUAAUAGAAAACAUAUAUUUUUAUAUUUUAUAUUUUAUUUUAUCUUUUAUGAUAACAUGAUAACAAAAAUUAAUUAUAAGGUAUACUCUUUAUUAAAUUAAUUAUUUAUAACCCCGAAUUGGUGAAAUAAAAACCUUCAAAAAUGUCAAAAAAAUUACCCCAUUGUUUAUAACAUUAGUUCUUUUCAUAUGUGAAAUAAAAAAUCAAAAGUCAUAGUCCUAUGUUUUUAAAAAACUCAUAGUUCUUUUCAAUUAAUUAUAUGAUUGCAUUUUUUGCACGAAGCUGCUGCAGAAAAAAAACAUGAUAAAUGGAAAAUUACUUAUGUUCAUAAUCCUUUCUAAGCUAAAAGAACUGUUACCAAUCGAAGUUAAUUGAUUUUCAACAAAGAAAACCGAACACAUGAGAAUUCAAAUGGAGAUCAAAUAUAGUAAGAUCACAUUAUACUUAUUCUUCUAUCAUAUUAAAUAUUCAUGACAACUUCAAACAAACAAAAAAGAGGUCUCCUCAAGAUUCUUUUGCCUAUUACAUUGAUAUGGCCAUCAAUCCCUGUAGUUUAACAAUAUUCAAGAUUUAGUCCCUACAUUUAAAUUUUAAAUAAAGGCUUCUAGCAAAAGUGGAAUUACAUUGCUUAAUGAAAUCACAAUGUUUGACCAUUCCAAUUACAUUGCUUAAUGAAAUCACAAUAUUUUAUCUUCUUGUAAUUUAAUUCUAGAAUAAUAUUUUUUAUUAUAAUGUAAGCGUUAGAAAAUAUGUUAAUUAUCUAUGUUUAAAACUUUAAUGAAAUAAAAAUAUAAACAAUUAUUAAAUAUCAAACUAAAAAUACCAUAAAAUAUUUUUAAAAUAUGGAUAAAUCUAAAACGAGCUUAAAUUAACCAUUUACAGAUAUAAGUAUACUUAAACAAACAUAAAAAUUAUUAAACCAUACAGUAGCUUAUUGUACCUUUUAAAGCAUGACAAGUAUUUUAUGGUUUUCUAGCUUAUUGUACCUUAAAGCUUGGAGUUAGCCUUCUUACUGCUCAACGCAACUGCUGUCUUCGAACUAUUGUUUUCGUUUUAUUUUGAUUACUAAAUUUUCUUCUCUUCUUUCUUUUAAAUUUAUUCAUUAAUCUCUUCAAAAUUAAAUAUUUCGAUCAUUCUCUCAUUAGUUGCAGUUAGAUAAGUGACAAUAAGUUGAUGUCAACUUUUUUAUUAGUCUAAUAAUAAAUUUAACCCUCAAAUAUUUAUACAUUCUAUCAAUUUAAUCCUAAAUAGAAAAUAUUUAACAAAUUCAGUUAUUACUAUUUACAUAAUUUUGAUGAAAGUUCAAACCGUAUUACUUUUUCACUAUGAAAGGAAUGGUGAUAUUUCCAUAAAUAAAGUAGUAAAGACAUGAGGCGACAUCAAUUUUUCCUAAAAAAAAUUCCCAGCCCAGGUGAUAACAUGAGAAGUGCUACAAUUUUGUUUCUAUUUAUUUUGUUUCUAUAAUUAGUCUGAACGAGGAACUCAAUAAUAGGAUAAUUCGAAUGGAGAAAGAAUUAGAUGGAAAACGGGCAUUAGAAAUGGAACUUCAGCAACUAAGAAAGAGAUUGACAGUUUUGAAGCAGGUUGAGGCAAGUAUUAAGAAGUUCAGAGAAAUGGAUAUUAAACUUGCAUUUUCAUCAGCUUUUACUCCAAACCAAUGAAAGCAUUCCCAGUAUAAAAGAAGUGAAAGCUAUAGUGUACCUUCGCAACGAUGAAGAAAAAUGAAACAAUUGGAAACCCUAUACACAGAGAAGACGAUUUCAAGACAUUUCAGGGUCAUCAACAAAUAACAAACAAAAAAAUUAAGCUAGACAAGAAAACCCAAUGUUUAAAUGCGCAGAAUCGGGAAAUCUUACCUUAAAUACUGUUUCCCCCGACGACAUAAUCCGAAUGUUUGCCCACCUUCUCCGUCUUCUUUGACUGGGUUAUNNNNNNNNNNNNNNNNNNNNNNNNNNNNNNNNNNNNNNNNNNNNNNNNNNNNNNNNNNNNNNNNNNNNNNNNNNNNNNNNNNNNNNNNNNNNNNNNNNNNNNNNNNNNNNNNNNNNNNNNNNNNNNNNNNNNNNNNNNNNNNNNNNNNNNNNNNNNNNNNNNNNNNNNNNNNNNNNNNNNNNNNNNNNNNNNNNNNNNNNNNNNNNNNNNNNNNNNNNNNNNNNNNNNNNNNNNNNNNNNNNNNNNNNNNNNNNNNNNNNNNNNNNNNNNNNNNNNNNNNNNNNNNNNNNNNNNNNNNNNNNNNNNNNNNNNNNNNNNNNNNNNNNNNNNNNNNNNNNNNNNNNNNNNNNNNNNNNNNNNNNNNNNNNNNNNNNNNNNNNNNNNNNNNNNNNNNNNNNNNNNNNNNNNNNNNNNNNNNNNNNNNUCACUUUAAAAAUAUAAUAAUAAGUUUAUAAGUUUCAAAUAUUUUUCAGCAGGUACAUUGUUAUGACUUGUUAAUAUUAUUCAAUAACAUUAUAUAAAAAUAUGUUACAUAUUUAAUACAUUAAUUUUAAAUGUUAAAAUUUAAUAAAUUUUAUAAAUCAUAGAAAUUUCAUUUCAUGAAACGGCUCCGUUUUAUUCAAUUUGCGGAUAUUAUUCAUAUUUGCAGCGUUUUAGUAGAAAACGCCACUAAAAUUUCAUGUACAGAAUCAGACGGUGCCGUUUUAUUAAAACAUAAGUAAACUUUCUGGCGUUUUCAUAAAAAACGCCACAAAUGAUUAACUGAAGUUUAAAGAUAAUUUACGGCGUUUUUCGAAAAACGCCACAAAUAAAAAUGCAAUAAAUAUUUGCUAAAAUUUGAAUAAAUUUUAUUAUUUAUUUAUUUAUCUCUUGUAUAUUUAAUUUAAAUUUUACAUAAAUAAUUGUUAAAAUUUUAAGUAAUAUUUAAAAGUAUUUAAUAUAAAAAUUAAUAACCCCUAAUUCCCAAAUUCCUAACCCAUAACCCCUAAAUCCCCUAAACCCUUAAAGCAUAAACCAUAAACCCCUAAAUCUCCCUAACCCCUAAAGCAUAACCCCUAAACCAUUCCAAUUAUAUAAUUUUACUAUUUAAAUUUUACGUGAAUAAAUAUUAAAAUUUUAUCAACAUUCGAAUUUAUAAAUUAUUGAUAUUAUUCAAAUAAUGUAUUACAAUUUAAAAUUUAUGCUCUAUUUUUAAGUUAAAUUGGGUUGAUGGAGAUAUGCCAGUAUUCAUUUCAUGAAGCGGCGCUUAAAGAAAACGCCACAAAUCUUACAAAUUUUGAGGGUCAACUGAACUUGUCAAUGAAACGGCUCCGUUUUGUUCAAAUUUUCAAAUAUUAUUUGCGACGUUUUUCACAAAAACGCCACUAAAUUAUUUAUAUUUAUUUAUAAGUAUUUGCGGAUAUUUUUCAUAUUUGCGGCGUUUUAGUAGAAAACGCGACUAAAAUUUCAUGUACAGAAUCAGACGGUGCCGUUUUAUUAAAACAUAAGUAAACUUUCUGGCGUUUUCAUAAAAAACGCCACAAAUGAUUAACUGAAACAACGCCGUUUUGAGUUUAAAGAUAAUUUACGGCGUUUUUCUAAAAACGCCACAAAUAAAAAUGCAAUCGAGAUAUAUUUGCUAAAAUUUGAAUAAAUUUUGUUAUUUAUUUAUUUAUCUCUUGUACAUUUAAUUUAAAUUUUACAUAAAUACUUGUUAAAAUUUUAAGUAAUAUUUAAAAGUAUUUAAUAUAAAAAUUAAUUAAUAACCCCUAAUUCCCNNNNNNNNNNNNNNNNNNNNNNNNNNNNNNNNNNNNNNNNNNNNNNNNNNNNNNNNNNNNNNNNNNNNNNNNNNNNNNNNNNNNNNNNNNNNNNNNNNNNNNNNNNNNNNNNNNNNNNNNNNNNNNNNNNNNNNNNNNNNNNNNNNNNNNNNNNNNNNNNNNNNNNNNNNNNNNNAUACAUGUAUCAAUAUCUACAUGCAUAAAGUGAUCGAUCAUCUAUCUAUUAUAUAUCUCUUAAAUAAUAUAAACUAUAUACUCAUAAUUUAAAUUCAUCCAAAUUUCUUAUUAACUUAAAUAACAUAUUUGAUAUAAAAAUUAAUAAAAACUAUUUAACCUAAACUUAAACUAUAACCUUACCGUUCAAACCCUAAACCAGAAAUUCCUAAACCCUAAACCCUAAACCCCUAAACCCUAAAUCUUAACUCUUAACUCCCCCUAACCCCAAAAGCAUAACACCUAAUCUUUAAACCCUAAAUCCAUACCCUAACCUACUCCUUAAACUCUAAACCAUAUACUAUAAUGAUAAUUAAUUCAAUAUUUUAAAUUUAAUACUACCUCUUUUACGAUUAUAUAAGAAAUUAUUUAAUAUAUAAACUAAAACAAUCAGUAAUGUAUCCAAAAAACUUUAAAAAUAUUUUAAAUAAUAGUUUUUUAAUUUUUCAAUUUUUAAGAAAUACUUUAAAUUAUUUUAAAUCCCUGAUCAUUAGCGGCGCUUUUCUAGAAACGCCGCUAAAUCCCUCAAAAGCACAGAAAACGACGAUGUUGCGCGUAGUUUUUUUUGCGGCGCUUUUCGAAAAAUGCCGCUAAAGACUGAACAUUAGCGGCGCUUUAACAAAAACACCACUAAAAUCCCCGAAAGCCAGAAAACGGCGUCGUUGGGCUUAGGUUUUUUGCGGCGCUUUAACAAAAACGCCGCUAAAGACUUCAGCAUUAGUGGCGCUUUCUGUAAAAGCGCCGCUAAAUCCCUGAAAGCUCGGGAGACGACGUCGUUGCGCUAGUUUUAAGUAGCGGCGCUUUUCCAGAAACGUUGCUAAAGACCUAACCAUUAGCGGCGCUUUAUAGAAAGCGCCGCUAAAUCCCUGAAAGCUCGGGAAACGACAUCGUUGGGCUUAGUUAUUUUUGCGGCGCUUUCCUAGAAACGCCGCUAAAGCCUUGAGCAUUAGCGGCGCUUACUGAAAAACGCCGCUAAAUCACCGAAUGCUGGGGAAACGGCGUCGUUGCGCUAGGUUUUUUGCGGCGCUUUCUCAAAAACGCCGGGAAUGAUUAUUUUCAGUGGCGUUUUUUAUAAUGCGCCGCUAAUGAUUGAUCUUUAGCGGCGUUUGUUAUCCAAACGCCGCGAAAAACGACGCUAAAAGCCUGUUUUGGUGUAGUGUACAUCCAUCGAUAGAAAACGGGUCCACCGAGUAUUGUUGAAAACCAUAAACCAUAACCCUUAUCCUGAAAACCAUAAACCCUAGACCUUAGACACUAGAUCAUAGACUUUAAACCCUUAAACUUUAAACCCACAAACCCUAAACAAUAACCCAUAAACCCUAAACCCUAAACUUUAAGCCUUCUUAUCCCUUGAACCCUAAAUCCUAAACUUAUAAAUUAUAAACCCCUAACCUUUAACCCCUAACUCUUAACCCCUAACACCUAAACCCUAAGCACUAACCCUUAAACCCUAAACCUUAAACUAUAUUUCCUAAAACUUUAACCCAAAUCCCUUAAACCUUGAAUCAUAAAACAUUAACUAUAAACCCUAAACCCCUAACCCUUAACCCCCAGCACCUAAAACUUAAACCUUAACCCUUAAACCAUAAUCCCUAAACCCCUAACCUAUAUCAUUUAAACCAUGAAUCAUAGAACAUAUAUAAACUAUAAACCUGAAACCCUGAAUCACAAAACAUAUAUAAACUAUAAACCUUAAACCUUAACCCUUAAAAUAAUAAAUAGUAAACUAUAAACCCUAAAUCCAUAAUCCCUAAAACACUAAUGCCUCUAAAGCUUAACAAAAAAAGAGCUUGUUUUGCUAAACUAUUUGCGGCGUUUUCAAAAAAGUGCCGCUAAUGCUUGACUUCUACGGCAUUUUUCUAAAAGCGCCACUAAUGUGUCUAAAGUUAAAAAAAAAUGUCGUCGUUCGCUUAAAAACUUCUGCGGCGCUACCCAAAAAGCACAGCUAGUGCUUGACUUUUGCGGCGUUUUCUAGAAAGCGCCACUAAUGUCUCUAAAGCUAAAAAAUAAAACGAUGUCGUUUGCUUAACACUUUUGCGGCGCGUUAGGGAAAGCGUCGCUACUGCUUGACUUUUGCGGCGUUUUUUGAAAAGGGCCACUAAUGUCUCUAAAGCUUAACAAAAAAAUGACAUCGCUUGCUUAAAACUUUUGCGGCUCUUUUCGCUAAUACUUGACUUUUUAGGACGUUUUCUAAAAAGCGCCACUAAUGUCUCUAAAGCUAAAAAAAAUGACGUCGUUUGCUUAGAACUUUUGCGGCGCUUUUGAGAAAGUGUCGCUAAUACUUGACUUUUGCGGCGUUUCUUGAAACUGCCACUAACAUCUUUGAAGCUCAACAAGUAAAAAACAUCGUUUGGCUUAACUCUUUUGCGACGCUUUUGAGAAAGCGCCGCUAGUGCUUGACUUUUGUGGCAUUUUUUAAAGGCGCCACUAAUGUCUUUGAAGUGCAACACGAAAACGCCACUAAAAGCCUGUUUUGCUGUAGUGAAAGAUAAAGAAGAAAGUUUUAGAUUACUGGAGGAGAGAUAAAUAUGAUUCAAGGUCAAAUUUUCUUAUCUCAAAAAACUUUUAAUUUUAUAGAAUGAAUAUAUUUAAUUAUUUUAAGUUUAUUCCUUGUAUUUAAUUACUUUUGCAAUGCUAUUGUGUAUUUUACUUGCGAAUAAACAGAUAAUAUAUAUUUUCUCAUUAUUUGUUUAUUGUAUUUGCAAUUCGGUAAACCUAUAAUUUAGUCUUAAAGUUGUACCCAAUCAUUAUUUUGGUACUUAAAAUUUCAUUUUAUCAAUUUGGUAUCUAAAGUUUCAAAACAUUAUUUCCGUUGCUCCAAGACUCAAUUACAUUUAAAAAAACUGAUGUGGAACGCUCUCAACAAGUUACUUCAAUUAAAAAAUAAAAAAAUUUAGAAAAAUCUUAAGUUUUUUAAGAAAAUCAGAAAAAAGUAUGAAAAUUUCCAAAACAUUUUAGAGCGACAUGGCUGGUUGGGAGAAUGUCAUAUUAGUAAUUCUUUAAAUAUCAAAGUGAUAAAUUAUUUGUGACGAUUAGCAAAGUAAUAAUUAGACAUAAGUUUGAAAACUAAAAUAUGGUUGAACCCUUUGCAAUUUGCUAAUAUCAUAUGAUGUUGAAUUUUCUUAUUUUAUAACAAAAUGUGAUAAUUACAUUUUACAAAUUACGGUUAUAAGUAUACAUUAUUAAAUUAAUUUUAAAAAUAUAUUUAUUUUAAAUUUAGAUUACAUUUCAAGAUUUUGAGUUCGGGUUAGAUGAAUUUAAGUUAUUGCAUUUUUUAUAGUUAAAUUCAAGUUAAUGCCAUCAGAAUUUUUUAGGUGUUCACUUGAACCCAAAUCUCUCAUGUCGAACUGGUCUUAUUUACUCGACCUUUAUAAUUUGUGAUUCUGUUUUCCUUAAAAGCCUUCUUUACUAUGGUUUGCCAUUGACAUUUUGGUGAUUGAGAUCAUGCUCCAAAGCCUCAUAAUAUAUGCAUAUUUGAAGGAUAAAUCUCCUUUGAAGGAGUAAUUCCAACCCCACCUAUCAAUUUAUGUUAGAAUAUUUUACUUAAUUUUAUAAUACAAAAUUAAAUAAUAUUAUAUAUUUAAGGUAAUUAUUUGGUUAUUAUAUUUAGUAAAAAAAUAAAUAUAAAAAAAUUUCUCAAAGGUCCUUAGUAAACACUAAUUUCGUCUCUACAAUGGUUGUGAUUUAUUGGAAGUUCUUUAAGCAUAUAGUGUUAGCAUAAAUAAUGGCUUCUAAUAGAAAGCAACGGAAAAGAUCGAAUAUAAAUAGCUCCAGCCAUUACUGGAGCCAAAUGCCAAAAUCCAAAUGUUGUUACACCACUGUCAAGCACGUCGAAUUUAGCUGUACGAAAAACUGAAAAUCGAUUAAGUCUUCUAAGCACUCGAAAACCUCACUAGAUGAACGUCGAAUUUUUUUUUGUGCUUAACGACCUUAUGCUAGUUGGUAUUUAUAGUGGUGGUUCCUUAUAAAAAACACCAACUACACAUCCCACUAUCUCACAUACAAACCUGUGAAUGUUGAGGACAACAAAAGUGGGAAUGGGCAGCAAAACGUGAAGGUUAUUCCUACGAACCAAUAAUGGUUCCAACACUUUCCCACUUGGUUUGUAUUGCCAUGAGUACUUAAAGUCAAAAAAUAAUGCACAAAUCAUGGCGAUAUUUCUCUUAGAAUUUGACUAGUAUCUUCCAUGUAUCACAAUAUAUCAUGCCUCAACGCUUUAGCCCAAAAUUUUUAAUAAAUAAACCCAAUGUUUAUUCCAAGUUCAAACUUUAGUGAUAGUUCUCGAAAUAAUCAAAUUAAAGUGUGCACAAAAUUUGCAUCAAAUUUGAGAAACAUCAAACUUAAUAGAGUUUCUUUAUAAUCAUUCUUAUAAUGAAAUUUACAAUGUGGGAACAAGUCCCAUAGUGACAACAUGAUCCUUAAAUUUGUGUGGUGGCAUGCCUUUAGUCAAAUGAUCAACUAACAUCUGCUCAGUGUUAAUGUGAUCAAUGAUCACUUCUUUUCUUUAACACAUUCCCUUAUGGCUAAAUACUUAAUGUCGAUAUGUUUAUUUGAACUUCCACUUUUAAUGUUCUCAGCCAUAAAUACAACAAUUGAAUUGUUACAAUAUAUCAUCAAUACCUAGAAAUUGAAUCCUUAAGUCUAAACCCAAAAAUGAAUGAACCAUACUCCAUGUGAGGUAGCCUUAAAACUUGACAUGAACUCAGCCUCCAUAGUGGAAGUAGCAGUUAAGAUUUGUUUGACACUCCUUCAAGAUAUAGCUGCGCCAGCAAAUAUAAAUAUGUAACCUGAUGUUAAUUUACUUGAAUCAACACAACCGAUAAAGUCUGAAUUGGAGUAGCCAAUCACCUCCAAAUUGUUUGAUCGUUUGUACGCAAGGAUGUAGUACUUUGUCCAUUUAAAAUAUCUCAAAACAUUAUUUGCAGCUCUUCAGUGGUCAAUACCUGAAUUACUCUGAUAUCUUCCCAACUUCCAACUGCAAAUGCAAUGUCAGGUCUUGUGCAGACUUGAGCAUACAUCAAGCUUCCAACAAUAAAAGCUUAUGCAAUGUUUUACAUCUGCUUCCAUUCAAAUAUUUUCUUCGGGCACUGGUUUAAAUUAAACUUAUCACCUUCCAUGAUAGGAGCAACACUCAGUGAAUAAUCUUUCAUUCGAAAUCUUUCUAACACUUUGUUGAUGUAGGUUUCUUGAGAUAAACUUAAGAUACUGCGAUGCCUAUCACGAUGAAUCUUAAUGCCAAUGACAUAAGACGCAUCACCCAUACCUUUCAUAUCACAAUUUUUAGAAAUAAAUUGUUUCACCUCAUGUACCAUAUCCCUGCAUUUGUUGCAAGUAUAAUGUCGUCCACAUAUAAAAUAAGGAAACAUAUUUUACUCCUAUUAACCUUUUGGUAUAUGCAUUGAUCCAUGAUAUUCUCAACCAAACCAAACGGAGAUAUUACUUCAUUGAAUUUUAAAUACCAUCAUCGGGAGGCUUGUUUCAAUCCAUAUAUGGACUUCUUUAGCUUGCAUACCAAGUGUUCACCUUCACUAGAGGAGAAUCAUUCAAGUUGUUUAAUGUAUACCACUUCCUUUAGGUCACCAUUUAGAAAUGCAGUUUUCACAUCCAUUCGAUGCAACUCAAGGUCAAAGUCAGCUACUAAUGCUAACACAAUGCACAAUGAAUCUUUCUUAGAUACAAGGCUAAAAGUCUCAGUAUAAUCGAUCCCUUCUUGCUGAGUGAAUCCUUUCACAAUGAGUCAAGCUUUAUGCCUUUCUAUGUUACAUAUUGAGUCUAUUUUGUUUUGAAGACUCAUUUACAUCCAAUGGCGUUUACGCCUUUAGGAAAUGACAAAAGAUCCCAAACAACAUUAUUUUUGAUGGAAUAGCAUUGUACUACAAUUUUGACUCUUUGCAACUAAUGGCUUGUGAAAAUGAUUCAGGAUCAUUCUCAGCUUUAAUAUUAUAGUCAAACUCUUACAGAUACACAAUAUAGUCAUUAGAAAUUGUUGAUUUCCUUUCCCUAGCAGAUCUUCUCAAUAUUGAACCAACAUUUUCUCGUGGAUCAUGUUGUUUAGCUGGUAGUUCAAUAAUUUUUGAAUUUUCUUGAACUGCUUGAUCUACUAGAGUGUUUUCACCUGCUUGUGGAUUUUCAUUGAUUGGUUGUUCAACACCUGGUUGAGCUUGAGAGGUGUUAUGUAUGAUAACCAAUCUCUCACUUGAAGUGGAAGGUUGACUUACAAGAAUUGUGUCUCGAGACAGAUCGCUCCCACUGAUUAAGUCAUUCUCAAGAGAUUUUGCAUUUCUUGAUUCCACAGUACCUAGUGUUUUAAAAACUAAAACAAUACCUAAAAGGUGCAAGUCUUGAAAUAGAAACUAAGUUUCUAGAAAAAUUGGGAAUAUAAAAAUUCUUUUCUAAAAUUAAAAUAAAGUCACUCCUAAGCACUAAUUCGCAUGUUCCAAUUGCUUCCACAUGCGAUUCCAUCUUAUUUCUUGAAUAGAUGUGUCGCUCAGCUUCCACUGGUUCCCUCAGGUUUCUUAAUCUUUGUAAGGAAUUUGAUAUAUGAAUUGUAGAACCAGAAUCAGUCCACCAUGUGUUAUAACUGACAUCAACCAUAUUGGACUCAAAUCAAACUAGUGAGAUUGAUUUACCUUUAUUUUCAAGUCAGGUCUUAAACGUUACACAGUCUUUUUUUUAAGUGUCCCUUCUUUUUACAGAAAAAAACACUUGGACUCAUUCUUUAUGUCAGUUUGGGGUUGCAUUUUGGCCUUCCCCUUUUGCUUGGCUUGGACUGUCUUCUUUCCUUGAGUAAUCGACAAUGCACUCUCUCCCUUCUCCAGUAUGAGUCUAGCCUCUUCCUGAUCACACAUGGUCAAAAGCUCAUCGAUAGAACACUUAUCCUUGUGUGUUAUAGGAGAUCUUAAAUGGCCGGUACUGAGGUGGAAGAGUGUUCAAUAUAAAGUGCACCAAGAAAGAUUCAGACAUUUCAACCUCAACUGCUCUCAGUCAAGCUGCUAAAUCUCUCAUCUUUUUUAUAUGAUCAUGUACACCUUUCACGAUAGUGAGCUUCAUUAAUGUGAACUUCAUGAUUAGGGUGCUAGUUAAUGACUUUUGUGAAGUUUUGAAUUAUUUUUCAACAGUUUUUAAUAAUUCUUGGACAUUCUCAUAAUGCUCAAUUGAGCCACAAACAUCAAUCAGAACCUUACUCUUUAUGAACAUGAUUGUAACAGCCCGAUUUUGACCCUAUUCGAAACGGUGGUUUCGAGACCACGAAUCUAAGUCAGAAAAAUAUUUUAAAAUUUAUUUUUGGUGUUUAUACUGUGUGAAUUUGUGUAUGCCAAAUUUUCGGUUUGGAAUUUUAUCGUUUGAAUGCCCGAUUUAUUAAAAGAACUUAAUUGCGUAAGUUAUGAAAGUUGCUAACUAUUUAUUAAAGUGUUAAUUUGCUAUUGUCUUUGUAGUGUGGGGUCUUUAAAAGGAAAUUAUUCCAUAAUUAAAAGAAUUGGACAUAUAUAAGUUUAUUUUAUAAUGAUUUUACAUUAAAUAAUAAAUGUUAAAUUUGUAAAUAUAUUAAAUAUAUUAAUAAAAUAUAAAAAAAAACAUGCAUUAGUUCAUCUUUAUUUUUUAUUGACCGAAUAUAGCUAAAGAAAAGGAGAAAGAAAAGGUUUAAGGUUUCGGCACUUUGAAGCUUGAAUUUAGGUAUGUGUUUAGCUCAUUUUUUGUUAAUUUUUACGUUUUUGAUAUCGUUGCUUCGAAUACUACUCGACCCAUGCUUGAAUUUUUGAAUUUGAUGAUGAUUUUGUAUUUUUGUCAUUGUUGAAAGCUUGUGACUUUUGUUUUAGAAGUUAGAAAAUAAAAGAAAUGAGGUAGAUAAACAUAUGUUGUCUUUGAAUUUUUGAUGAUUUUGAGUAAUUAGAGCUAAAUUGCAAAAAUAAUAAAUUGAGGGACUAAAAUGUGAAAUAAAUGAAAUGCAUGGACUUAUAUGAGCUUAGUGAAUAUUCAGCCAAGCUAUUGUGUAAUGAAAUUUUGUUUAUUUUGUAUUUUGUGAAAUAGGGACUAAUUUGUAAUAAAUGUGAAAUGUUAGGGGUAAAGGUGUAAUUUACCCAUUUAUGUGUUUAUGGAUGAAUUUGAUGGAAUAUGUGAUUAAAUAAACUUAAAUUAUACAAAUUUAGAUCAAGAAAAGAGGAAUUUGGAAUUGGAUCAGGGGAAUUUCUGCCUCACAAUCCGUGCGGCCUUAGGCAGUCUCUUGUUUCCAAAAACGUCUAAGUCAGCCUAACUCCCACGAGUUGAGGAUUCAAUAGAAUUCCCCUUUGAAAACUAACACAAACGAAAUCCAUUCAAAGAUAAAACAAAGAUGAACGAAGAACGAUAUAAGAACAAGCCACAAAAUACCAAGAACACAAGAGAGAAGAGUUGGAGAAAAUACUCUCAAGAAUUCUUAUUACUCUGCCAAAACUCCAGUGAUUUACAAAUGAGGGGAGAGGCCUCUAUUUAUAGUAGAGCCUCCCCAAAUCCAAAGGUACAGAUGGAAUAGUCGUCCCGGUUUGUCCGUCUUCGUCCGAGGUAAGUCUAUAAGCACAUAAAUGUUGUUAACUUUAAAUAAUUGUGUAUAUAAAUAUGAGAUAGCCGAAUGUAUAUGUAUAUGUACAUAGAAAUAAUAUGUAUAAGUUUGAUUUGAUCGAAAUACGACGUACGAAAGUCCUAAGUGAACCAAAGGAAUUCCGAUAAGUGUUAUUGUGUAAGACCCUGUGUGGGAUAGCGGCAUCAAUUUGUAAUUGUGAGUAAGACCCUGUGUGGGACAGCAGCAUCGCUAUUUGAUUACAUGUAAAACCACGUGUGAGACAUUGGCACUGUACGAUAAAUAUGAUUAUUCGAGUAUUCUAUUCAGUUUUGAAUGGUUCAGCAGGCAUGUAAUGGCCUAAAUUCAAGGUUAUCGGAACAGUGGUUUCGUAGCCACAAAUUUGAUUUAAAGAUAAAUUUAUUUUAAUAUUUUUGCAUGAAUAUUGAUAUGAUAGGAAAAUCAUAUGAAAAUAUAGAUAGAAGAAUUUUACCGAUUUAGUAGUUAGUUAGAAAAAGAAAUUAUUGAAGAAAUUUAGUAAAAACAAGGUAUCAAGACCUCGAUCUCGUAAAAUCAAGUCACAAAUAUUUUUAUAAAUAUUUAUGAAGUGUUAGUAAUAUGGUAUUAAAAUUUUGUUAGAAAAUUUCUACGUUUGGGUAAUUAAUUAAGUGAAAAGGAGUAAAUUGAAAAGGGUGUAAAAGUUACUAGAAGGAUUAAAUAGCUCAAUUGUUAAAUGAGAAGGGACAUAAAUUGCAAAUAAGCCCAAAAGGAGAUAUUUUGGGCGGCAUAAGCUGAGAAAAAUAAGUAGAAUUGGUGAAAUAAGGGUAAAAUGGGAAAAUAACAAAAUUUACUAACAUAAAAAUAUGACCAAAUUGGAAUAUCUAGAAUUCUCUUCGUAUUUUCUUCAUUAUCAUCAGCCAAAAAAUGUCCUAGGGGUUUAUUCAAGCUGGUACUUCAUAAUUUUUGCACCAAGUGAGUUAAUCAUUGCCUUUUUCUUGUAAUUUUUGUGUUUCUAAGACUUUUACAACUAGGUCCUAUUACUAAAUUCAUUAGUUUUUGAUUUUAUGAAUGAAAUUGACAGUUUCUAUGAAUAUGUGCUGGAAGUUUAUGAUGAAAUAGCAUGAAAUUGAAGCUUUAAUUUGUUUAUGAGAUGAUUUUAUUAGGUAAUUUCAAUAGAAAUUGAUUUGUAGAACCUAAUUGUGAAAAAUUUUGGAAUCAAAGUCUAGUGCUAAAAUUCUGAUUUCCAAAGGUUAUAAAGUAGUUUAAAGUGAUAGAAUAAAGUGUUAAUUGAGAAAAUCAGGUCAAUUAAGAGGUUAAUUGAGCAGCGAUGAAAUUAUCAAUUAUUGAAAGCUUAAGGGAAAAAUGGCAAUUAACACCAUGCACUAAAACAGUUUGGACAGCAACAGUAGGUUAACUUUGAAAAAUCACCAUAAAAUUGUGUAAAUUGAAUUAGAGGAUGAAAAAAAUAUUAAAUUAAAGCUUACUGAGUCUGGUUUCUUAUAAAAGAAACGGUGUAAGCAAUGAAAUUGUAAAUCAUGAGAUAUAAUAGAUUUCGUGAGACAAGGUCAGAAUGAAUUCGGGUUCCCCUAUUCUGACUUUGGAAAAUCAUCAAAAAUUGGAGAAAAAUAAUUAGGGGCUUAAAUUUAUAUGUUUAAAAUACUUAAUGAGUCUAUUUUCAAAAGAAACAACAAGAACAUCAUCUGAAUCCUGUACAAUGAGAUAAUUAAUUUUUAGUGAAGAGGGGUCGGAACUGUCGAACAGUGAAAUAAGGGAAACUUUAAAGAAUAAACUGUACUUAUUGGCUAAACCAAAAAUUCUGAAAAUUUUAUGGCUAAACCAAAAAUUCUGAAAAUUUUUUGGUAAGAAGAUAUGUGAGUCUAGUUUCGGGGAAAAUUAGAAGAUCUUAAUUUGGAGUUCCGUAGCUCAAGAUAUAAAUAAUUUAGUGAUUAUGACACAAUGAGACAGCUUUGAAUGCACUAUAAAUAAUAAUGGAAUUAUAGAGAAUGUUACAUAUGAACAUGAAAUGUAUUAGAUUAAUGAUUAAAUUUAUUUAUUUAGAUCCAAAAAAUUCAAAUACGAAGCUAGAUCAAGGAAAAGAAAAGGUUUGAGAUUAGUAGAUUUUUGUUUACGAACAAGUAUCGAGGUAAGUUCGUGUAACUUGAAUUAUAUUCUUAAAUGCUUGAAAUAUAUUUUUCUUGAUGUGAAUAUGAUUUGGAUGUUUAAAAAAAAUUCUUAUGAAUUCGAUAUAGUCUCGGUUUAUUCCCGAUGUAUGUUUUGGGCAUUGGAGGUGUAUCCAAGGGACGUCAUGACAUGUUUCGUAAAUGAAUAGUAUUUAACUCGUAAUAAUGGAAAGUUAAUUUUGUAAAAUUUGGUAAUGCCUCAUACCUUAUUCUGGCUGUGAAUACGGGUAGGAGGUAUUACAUUUGUUGGUAUCAAAGCUACGGUUUAGUCGGUUCUCAGAUCGACGUAACAAAUACGAGAUUAGCUAUACAUGCCAUUUAAAUUAUUAUUGAUAGCAAAUGCCUGCCAACCGAGCUCAACCCGAGGAAGCAGGGAGUCAUGCUCCGGCUUCAGAACAAAGAGAAUUUGAAGCUACUAGUAGGAGAAGGUCUUAGACAAUGGGCCAAAGUGAAGAGGUUAAAAUGGCCUUCUAUCAAAUGAUGAAUGAAUGGUUUACUCAGUAUAGAAAAACUAACCCUGUAGUGCAGUAAGCUCAAGCUCCUCCUCCUCCUCCCCUACCGAUUCUCGAGAUUCCACUGGGUACAUGUACUGAAUCUAUCAGAAAAGGAAAAGCUCAAGUUGAUAAAAUAAGAAAAUAUGGGGCUGAAGAAUUCAGAGUCGCAGUUGAUGAUGAUCCCGAACGGGCUGAGUUUUGGUUAGAAAAUACUACUCGGGUUUUAGAGGAAUUAUCUUGCACACCAGAAGAGUGUUUGAAAUGUGCAAUAUCAUUGCUAAAAGAUACAGCUUACCAUUGGUGGACUACUAAAACUUCAGUUGUUUCGAAAGAACAAAUUACAUGGGAAUUCUUUAAGACCGAGUUCAGAAAGAAAUAUAUCAGUCAGAGGUUCCUCGAUCAGAAGAGAAAAGAAUUUCUUGAGCUGAAACAGGGUAACAGAUCAGGACCUGAGUAUGAAAAAGAAUUUGUCUGAUUGAGUAAAUAUGCUCGGGAAUGGGUACAAUUAGAAGCCGAAAUGUGCAAACGAUUCAAAGAAGGGUUGAAUGAAGAAAUUAAGCUAUUGAUCGGAAUUCUUGAAAUUCGAGAGUUUGCUACCCUUGCAGAGCGAGCUUAUCAAGCAGAAGAACUGAGCAAAGAAAAGAAACAGGCUGAGAGAGAAGCUCGAAUUCUUAGUAAAAGACCGAUGGGAAAAUCUCAGUUUUCUACUUCAAAGAAAAUGAAGAAAUUCCAGGAUCGCUCUACCUCAGCUACUAGGUAUUCGGGUAGAGAGUGAGGUUUUCAACGCACUAAUCCAAGACCUUCCACUCUAUCAAUGACCAGUGUUGGCAAUGUUGGUACCCCUAAGCCGAGAUGCUAGUACUGUAAUAAAACUCAUUUUGGUGAAUCUCGAUUAAAGAGCGGGGCUUGUUACCGAUGUGGUUCUUUCGAUCAUUUCCUCAGAGAUUGUCCAGAAAGGGGUGAAAAAGAAAUUGAACAGAUAUCAAAGUCGAGUAAUCUAGUUUCGAGGGGUAGACCACCUCGACCAUCUGGUAAUGUCAGUUGUAGUCGAUGAGCUACAAAAGAUACUGCAGGUAGGCCUGAGGCGCGAGCACCUGCUAGGACAUAUGCCAUCCGUGCUAGAGAAGAUGCCUCAGCAUCCGAUGUUAUUACUGGUACAUUUUCUUUACUUGAUACUGAUAUUACUGCAUUGAUUGAUCCUGGUUCUACACAUUCAUACAUAUGCACAAAAUUAGUAUUUGUUAAAAAUUUAUCUGUUGAACCUACUGAAUUUGUGGUUAAAGUUUCGAACCCCCUGAGCCAGUUUGUGAUAGUGGAUAAAGUUUGUAAAAAUUGUCCACUGAUGGUAAAAAGUAUUUGUUUUCCGAUUGACUUGAUGUUAUUGAUGAGUUCAAUGUGAUAUUGGGCAUGGAUUGGCUAACUCAACAUAAUGCAGUAGUAAACUGUAGACAGAAAUAUAUUGUGCUGAAGUGUUAGAAUGGAUAAUUACUUCGGGUUAAAUCUGAUCAGACAGAGGAAUUAUCUAAUGUGAUUUCGGUUAUGACAGCUCAGAAGUGUGUCAGAAAAGGGUAUGAUGCUUAUUUGGCAUAUGUGUUAGACACUAAGGUAUCUGAGUCAAAGAUACAGGCAGUGCCAUUUGUAUGUGAAUUUUUCGAUGUGUUUCCAGAGGAAUUACCAGGGUUGCCACUAGAAAGAGAAGUGGAAUUUUCUAUAGAUCUGAUUCCGGGAACUACUCCAAUCUCCAUAGCUCCGUAUCAUAUGGCUCCUACGGAAUUAAAGGAGUUCAAGACACAGUUGCAAGAACUUGUUGACAGGGGUUUUGUUCGACCAAUUCAUUCACCUUGGGGUGCUCCGGUUCUAUUUGUGAAAAAGAAGGACGGGUCCUUAAGAUUAUGUAAUGAUUACCGACAGCUCAACAAGUCACUAUAAAGAAUAAGUACCCAUUGCCUUGGAUUGACGAUCUGUUUGACUAGUUGAAGGGUGCCACUGUAUUUUCAAAGAUUGAUCUCUGAUCAGGCUACUACCAGUUACGGGUAAAAGAGUCAGAUGUACCGAAAACAGCUUUCAGAACUAGGUAUAGGCAUUUUGAGUUUCUGGUUAUGCUGUUUAGGCUGACUAAUGCACUUACAGUAUUUAUGGACCUGAUGAAUCAGAUAUUUAGAUCGUACUUAGAUAGGUUCGUGGUAGUUUUUAUUGACGAUAUCUUGGUCUAUUCCCGAGAUAAAAAUGAGCAUGCAAAACAUUUGAGAAUUGUGCUGCAAAUUCUACGAGAGAAGCAGCUAUAUGCUAAAUUCAGUAAAUGUGAAUUUUGGCUUCGAGAAGUGGGUUUUCUCGGACAUAUUGUAUCCACAGAAGGCAUCAGGGUAGAUCCGAGUAAAAUCUCAGUAAUUGUCAAUUGGAGUCUACCGAAAAAUGUAUCCGAAGUUAGAAGUUUCUUGGGUUUAGCUUGUUAUUAUCGGAGAUUUGUACAGGGGUUCUCUAUGAUAGCUUUUCCGAUAACCCGUUUAUUAUAGAAAGAUGUUAAAUUCGAGUGGUCUGAUGAAUGCCAGUAGAGUUUCGAUCGAUUGAAAGAUUUGUUAACGAAAGCACCUAUAUUGGUACAGCCUGAACCGGGUAAAGAUUUUAUUAUUUAUAUUGAUGCAUCAUUAAAUGGUUUAGGUUGUGUCUUGAUGCAAGAAGGUAAAGUUAUAGCCUAUGCUUCGAGACAACUUAAGACACAUGAAAGAAAUUACCCGGUGCAUGAUCUUGAAUUAGUUGCCAUUGUAUUUGCAUUAAAAAUAUGGCAGCAUUACUUGUAUGGUGAGAAAUGUCAUAUUUAUACUGAUCAUAAAAGUUUGAAAUAUCUAAUGACACAGAAAGAUUUGAAUUUGAGACAGCGUAGGUGGCUUGAAUUGAUAAAGAACUAUGAUUUGAUUAUUAAUUACCAUCCGGGUAAGGCUAAUGUUUUUGCUGAUGCUUUAAGUCAAAAAUCUCUGUUUGCUUUGCGAGCUAUGAAUGCCCGAUUGUCUUUGGUUGAUGAUGGUUCAGUCGUAGCUGAGUUGAGAGUUAAACCGACAUUUCUACAACAAAUAUAUGAAGCUUAGAAAAAUGAUGAGAAGCUACAGGCUAAACAGGUACAAUGUGAGUCAGGUAAUGAUUUAGAAUUUCAGUUUGGGACUGAUGGUUGUUUAUUAUUCAGAGGCAGAGUAUGUGUACCAAAGAAUUCAGAGCAUGUACAAAAGAUUUUACACGAGGCACAUAGUGGUAUUAUGUCCGUACAUCCGGGAGGUAAUAAAAUGUAUAAUGAUUUGAAAAAAAUGUAUUGGUGGCCAGGUAUGAACCAUGAUAUUUCUGAGUUUGUAUCAAGAUGUCUGAUACGUCAAUAGGUCAAAGCAGAACAUCAGGUACCUUCGGGAUUGCUCCAGCCAAUUACUAUACCAAAAUGGAAAUGGGAAAGUAUUACUAUAGAUUUUGUGUUGGGAUUACCAUUGUCACCAAAGAAGAAAGAUGCCAUUUGGGUGAUCGUUGAUCGAUUAACAAAAUCAGCACAUUUUAUCCCAGUACGUAUAGAUUAUUCUCUAGAUAAAGUGGCUGAACUGUAUAUAUCUAAAAUUGUCAGGCUACAUGGUGUGCCAAUCUCUAUUAUCUCUGAUAGAGAUUCCCGUUUUACAUCUCGUUUCCAGGACAAAUUGCAAGAAGCCUUGGGUACUCAAUUGCAUUUCAGCAUUGCAUUUCAUCAUCAGACAGAUGGCCAAUCUGAGCGUGUAAUUCAGGUACUGGAAGAUAUGCUCCGAUGUUGAAUAUUAGAGUUCUCCUUGGAAGAAAGUUCUCCUGUUCGGUCGAAAAGGUAAAUUGAGUCUAAAUUUAUCAGGCCAUAUGAAAUCAUAGAAAGAAUUGGACCGAUCGUUUAUCGAUUGGCAUUACCACUGGAACUCGAUAGAAUUUAAUAAUGUUUUUCAUGUGUCUAUGCUACGACGGUAUUGAUCAGAUCUUUCACAUGUUAUAUCUCCAUCAGAAGUGGAGAUUUAGCCGCAUAUGACUUACAGUGAAGAACCGGUCAAGAUAUUAGCACGAGAAAUAAAGGAGCUUAGAAAUAAAAAGAUAAAUUUGGUGAAAGUAUUAUGGAAAAAGAACGGGAUUGAGGAAGCAACAUGGGAACCGAAUGAGGCAAUGAGGAAACAAUACCCGAACCUCUUUACUGGUAAGAUUUUCGAGGACAAAAAUCCUUAAAGGAGGGGAAAGUUGUAAUGGCCUAAAUUCAAGGUUAUCGGAACAGUGGUUUCAUGCCACAAAUUCGAUUUAAAGAUAAAUUUAUUUUAAUAUUUUUGCAUGAAUAUUGAUAUGAUAAAAAAAUCAUAUGAAAAUAUAGAUAGAAGAAUUUUACCGAUUUAGUGGUUAGUUAGAAAAUGAAAUUAUUGAAGAAAUUGGGUAAAAAUAAGGUAUCGAGACCUCGAUCUCAAAAAAUCGAGUCAAAAAUAUUUUUAUAAAUAUUUGUGAAAUGUUAGUAAUAUGGUAAUAAAUUUUGUUAGAAAAUUUCUACGCUUGGGUAGUUAAUUAAGUGAAAAGGACUAAAUUGAAAAGAGUGUAAAAGUUACUAGAAGGAUUAAAUAGCUCAAUUGUUAAAUGAGAAGGGACAUAAAUUGAAAAUAAGCCCAAAAUGAGAUAUUUUGGGCGGCAUAAGCUGAGAAAAAUCAGGAGAAUUGUGAAAUAAGGGUAAAAUGAGAAAAUAACAAAUUUUACUAACAUAAAAAUAGGACCAAAUUGGAAUAUCUAGAAUUCUCUUCAUAUUUUCUUCAUUAUCAUCAGCCAAAAAACAUCCUAGGGGUUUAUUCAAGCUGGUACUUCACAAUUUUUGCACCAAGUGAGUUAAUCCUUGCCUUUUUCUUGUAAUUUUUGUAUUUCUAAGACUUUUACAACUAGGUCCUAUUACUAAAUUCAUUAGUUUUUGAUUUUAUGAAUGAAAUUGAAAGUUUCUAUGAAUAUGUGCUAGAAUUUUAUGAUGAAAUAUCAUGAAAUUAAAGCUUUAAUUUGUUUAUGAGAUGAUUUUAUUAGGUAAGUUCAAUAGAAAUUGAUUUGUAGGACCUAAUUGUGAAAAAGUUUGGGAUCAAAGUCUAGUGCUAAAAUUCUGAUUUCCAAAGGUUAUAAAGUAGUUUAAAGUGAUAGAAUAAAGUGUUAAUUGAGAAAAAUCAACUCAAUUGAGAGGUUAAUUGAGUAGGGAUGAAAUUAUCAUUUAUUGAAACCUUAGGGAAAAAAUGGUAAUUAACAUCAUGCACUAAAACAGUUUGGACAGCAACAGUAGGUUAACUUUUAAAAAUCACCAUAAAUUGUGUAAAUUGAAUUAGAGGAUGAAAAAAUAUUAAAUUAAAUUUUAUUGAGUCUAGUUUCUUUUAAAAAAACGGUGUAAGCAAUGAAAUUGUAAAUCAUGAGAUAUAAUAGAUUUUGUGAGACAAGGUCAGAAUGAAUUCGGGUUCCCCUGUUCUAACUUUGGAAAAUCAUCAAAAAUUGGAGAAAAAUAAUUAGGGGCUUAAAUUUAUAUGUUUAAAAUACUUAAUGAGUCUAUUUUCAAAAGAAACAAACGAGAACAUCAUCUGAAUUAUGUACAAUGAGAUAAUAAUUUUUAGUGAAGAGGGGUCGGAACUAUCGAGCAGUGAAACAGGGGAAACUUUAAUGAAUAAAUUGUACUGAUUGGCUUCUGAAAAUUUUAUGGCUAAACCCAAAAUUCUAAAAAUUUUAUGGUAAGAAGAUAUGUGAGUCUAGUUUCGGGAAAAAUUAGCGGAUCUUAAUUUGGAGUUCCGUAGCUCAAGAUAUAAAUAAUUUAGUGAUUAUGACAGAAUGAGACAGCUUUGAAUGCACUAUAAAUAGUAAUGGAAUUAUAGAGAAUGUUACAUAUGAACAUGAAAUGUAUUAUAUUAAAGAUUAAAUUUAUUUUUUUUAGAUCCAAAAAAUUCAAAUACGAAGCUAGAUCGAGGAAAAGAAAAGGUUUGAGAUUAGUAGAUUUUUGUUUACGAACAAGUAUCGAGGUAAGUUCGUGUAACUUGAAUUAUAUUCUUAAAUGCUUGAAAUAUAUUUUUCUUGAUGUGAAUAUGAUUUGGAUGUUUAUUAUAUGAUAAUUGAUGAAGUAUUGAUAUUCUUGAUGAAAAUAGAAAAUAAAUCCCGGUUGAAUGAAAGGAAAAUUCGAUGGAUCUUUGAAAAGGAAUUGACGGUAAAAAGGAUCUUGCCCUGAUGGGUGAUCCUAUCCUGAUAUAGCCCUCCCGAAGAAUAUGUGGAAAAUGGAUUUAGCCCGAACGGGUAAUCCGAAUUAGGGUCUGAAUUUAGCCUGGACUGGUAAUUCAGAUCCAAGCUCAUUAGAAUAAUUAUCAUUGUUGGGGAUUUUGCCUGGACUAGUAAUCCCGACAAUACUCUAUGAGUUUAUAUUACAAGGGAUUUAGCCUAGACUGGUAAUCCCGCUAUAAGGAUGAGGUUCGCGGGAGUGUGCUCUCUGAAAUGGAAAUGUGCGCACAUGAAUAUGAAUUGACGGACCCGGACCGUUACACUAAAGUGUACCCCUGAAAAUCUAUCGAAAUUCUGAGAAUUCAACGUGAUAAAUAUGGAAAAAUAACAAGGGAAUGGAAAUCAUGGUAUUGAUGAGCUCAUCAAUCAUGGUAUAUAUUAUUGAUACAUGGAAAUUAUUGGACUAAUUUGAAUGUUGAGUUGUGCAUGAUAGGGGAAUAAUGUAUUGAAUGGGUGUAUGAAUGUUUAUCGCAUUGUAUUGAAAAUAUUAGGUAGGUAUAAUUCUUGUCACAUGAAGUUACUAAGCACAAAGUGCUUACCUUGUUUCUUUUUCCCCUGUUUUGUAGUGUUAAGAGCUCGGAGGUCGGAUUCGGUCAGAGACGUAUCACACUGUCAACCUCAAUAUUUCGGUAUAUAAAGAAACUUUAUUUUGGAAAUCAAUGGCAUGUAUAAGCUAAAUAAGUAAAUGUUAAUGUGAAAUGAAUGUAAUGUUAGCCAUUCGUAUGGCUAACAAAUGUUGAUUUUGGUAUGUGAUGAGGUUAUCUUAUAAAUAUGUUUGAAUCUAUCUUGAAAAUAUGUUGAAAUGGAUUGGUUGGUUUGGAUUAGUCUCGGUUUAAAAUUGCAGGGAAGGUUAGAAAUUUAUAAAGGGGUUAUAUUGAGUUUAAAAAAAAUUCUUAUGAAUUCGAUAUAGUCUCGGUUUAUUCCCGAUGUAUGUUUUGGGCUUUGGAGGUCCAUCCAAGGGAUGCCAUGACAUGUUUCGAUAAAUGAAUAGUAUUUAACUCGUAAUAAUGGAAAAUUAAUUCGGUAAAAUCUGGUAAUGCCUCAUACCCUAUUCCGGCGACGAAUACUGGUAGAGGGUAUUACAAGGCAUUAUCAAGUUGUGAUUGAUUGUGAAAUCGAGCUGAAAGGGUCAAAUAAGUGUUAAGUUCAAUGUUAAUAAAAAAGAAGAAGGUAAGCUUGGUAUUUGAAAUGGUGAUAUAAGUUAUACGUGAUAUAAAGUGAAUUAUAUGUAUUUACAUGAAUGCUCAUAUUCGGCUAAAUGAUGUAUUUGUGAUAUUAAAAGUGAGAGUAAUGUGUGCUUAUGAGUAUAUGUGCAUUUGGUCAGAUGAUGUUAAAUUACUAAUAUUUUCUGAUGUUAUAUGAAUUUGCUAGUUUGAUAAGUGUAGAUGUGAUUAAGGGCUACUUGAUUCGACCUAGUUAAAUUAUAUUAGAUAUCUUUGAAAUGAUUUAUUUUCGUAUAACUUAGUGAUAACACUCUAGAAUAACGUAUUUUUAUGUAUUAAUUAUGUAUUUAUUCUGAGUAUGAUCUUGCUAAUUUGAGCUAUUUAUGAUCUUUUUCUCAUAGGGACUAAAUUUGAGGCAAAAGCAAAAUUAAGGGCCAAAAGCAUGAAUUUAGAGAUAAAAUGGGCUAAUGUGCAACACAAGGAAAAGUUGGUGCCAAAAGUGCAAGCAUGGAGGACACAAGGGUUGAAAUGCAAAAAGAAGAGAUUUUAUUCUAUCAGACUCUAUUUUAAUUAUAUUAAGAUAAUUAAUAUUAAGAUAAUUAUUAAGGAUUAUUUAAUUUUAGGAUUUUAUUUUAUUUAUCUUUAUUUAUCUUCAAUUAAAUGUAUUUAUCUUCUGGGAGUUUAAGUAGGAUUAGGUUAUCUUCCCUAGCACUAUAAAUAGGGGGUGAAGUGACUCAAAAGGGAUCCAUCUUUUUCAGAAAACACUCUCUCCCAAAAGUCUAGGAUUUUGUUCUUCUCAUAUUGCCUUUCAAUAAAAUCUCCAUUUUUAUUUUAUUUAUUUUCUUUUCCACCACAACCAUGAGCCACUAAACCCAUCUAGCUGAAAGUUGUCGGUAUUCCCCAAAAAGGGUUCUUGAGGCUUAAAGUCUGUACUUAGCCUCCUCGCCGAGUAUUCAUCAUUUCUCCUCACUACGGGGCUGAUGCUUCCGUCCAUGUCCCUUAAGAAGUAAGCUUUUCAACGUAUACAAAGGCGGCUGCUUUGUAUGUUUUGGGAAGUUUGCACAAUCGGUUCGUUAGCUUACUAUGUUAGAGGUUGGCGAGCCUAAGAGACAAAAUGGCGUAGGAUUUGCCAUUGAGAAGCAUUGAUCUAGCAUAAGACGAACCCACAGAAGCGAUUGUUGGCUAGAGUCAGGUUCCACUAAAUUGUAAGUCUAAAUUCUUGGAGCUGGUGGUCGUAGGCAUCCACUUCCACUAUAACUGACUUAUUCGGUUUGGGAAGGAUCAUCUAAAAGCCGAGGAUGGAACCCAAGACGGAACGAGACAACUGGAGGCUGUAACCCCCAUAAGAAUUUCAUUUCUCUCAACUCUAUUUUUAAUUUCUCGAAUUUUUUAUUCAAUAUUCUUAAUUCUAUUUUUAUUUUAUUUUUCAUUUCUAGAUCUAGACAUUUAAUUUUGUUAUUUUUUUAUUUUAUUUUUUUUAGGAAUACAGGUUUUUUUGGGCAAGAUUCUGCCUGGGAUUUCAUGGAACAAGAUAUUGGCACCAAAAUUUGAUGCGGUCGUUAAAAGCGCCAAAAAUAUCCUAUCCUUAAUAAAUAAUGAAAAAGAAUAGUAAAAGGGAAGUAGGGCCAAAUAUAAUUAUCUUAAUAAUUAUCCUUAAUAUUAAUAUUAAUUAUCCUAAUAUAAUUAAAAUAGAGUCUGAUAGAAUAAAAUAAAAUCCUAAAAUUAAAUAAUCCUUAAUAAUUAUCUUAAUAUUAAUUAAUACAUAAAAAUACGUUAUUCUAGAGUGUUAUCACUUACUAAGCUAUUCAAGCUUACUGUGUGUGUGUUUGUUCGUUGUUUUAUAGUUGUUGUUCUAAAAUUAAAUAAUCCUUAAUAAUUAUCUUAAUAUUAAUUAUCCUAAUAUAAUUAAAAUAGAGUCUGAUAGAAUAAAAUCUCUUCUUUUUGCAUUUCAACCCUUGUGUCCUCCAUGCUUGCACUUUUGGCACCAACUUUUCCUUGUGCCACACAUUGGCCUAUUUUAUCUCUAAAUUCAUGCUUUUGGCCCUUAAUUUUGCUUUUGCCUCAAAUUUAGUCCCUAUGAGAAAAAGAUCAUAAAUAGCUCAAAUUAGCAAGAUCAUACUCAGAAUAAAUACAUAAUUAAUACAUAAAAAUACGUUAUUCUAGAGUGUUAUCACUUACUAAGCUAUUCAAGCUUACUGUGUGUGUGUUUGUUCGUUGUUUUAUAGUUUUGGAAUCAAGUUACGAGCUCGAGGAUCGUCAGAGUAAUCAGACAUACUAUCGAUCUCUAAUUUGGUAUUUUAAAAGUUAAACCUUAUACUUAUGGCAUGUAUAGGCUAGCUUGUGUUUUGGGUUAGUUUUGAAUUUGUAAAUAUUAAACCAUGCGAAAAUGGCUAGAUAUGAUGCUUAAGUUUAAGCAAAUUUCGGUUAUGGUAUAUAUAUAUGUGUGACGUAUUUGGUAUAUGUAUGAUGAUAUAGUCUUGAAAGUUGGCAUGAUUUGCAAUUAUGGUUUGUUAUAAUUUGAUUUAAGAGAAUUAGGUAUAGUUGAUGAAUUAGUUCUUAUUGAUGACUAUAAAUUACCUUGUGAUUUGGUAGUGUUUAAAUCAUGGAACUAAAUGUCCAGUUAUAUGUUAACGUUAAUUUUUCUUAUAUUUGUUAAGUGUGGAUUAUUGCUAUGGUAUUAUACUUAAAUUGAUAUACAUAUUGCAAUUAGAAUUGGUAACUGGUAUAAUGAGUCUUGUUUACUAAAUUAGUUUUAUAAGUGACCUAUGAUAUGUUACAGGAUUAAUAUUAUUUAUACAUAUGUAUAGGUCCGGUUUUGGCAUGUAAUGCAUUAGUAGAUUUGUUUUCUAUAUUAUAUAUAUUUAUAUAUAAUGAUUAUGUUUUAUGAGAUGUCUUUGCAUGUAAAUGAAUAAUUUGUUUUAUAUUUGAAAAUGACUAGGAUACAGCUUAGUAAGAUAGUAAAUUAAUAAAUGACAUAUUUGUGCAUAUGUGUAUGUAUUAGAUUAUGGAUCUAAAAGAUGUGAUUAACAAUGAUGUAUGGUAAUUUAGCAAAAUUAGACUCGUAUUAUUGGAAAGUUGAUGUCUGUUUGGGUAUAAACAUUUGCGCAUAAUUGAAUGAUUAUAAUGGUAUAUUUUCAUUUAUGUUUUGGCUAAGCAUUGAACAAAAAGGCUAAAGAAUAGUAAUGUACCGAUUGUGAUAUGGUCAUACAUUGUGGUUUGACUUGCUCGUUUUAUAUGUAUAUUGUAAUUAAUAAAAUUGCUUAUUUUGAUAUGCGCAUAGGUUUAUAUGGGGAAGUGUUAUUUUGAUACUUUGUUUAUGUAUUAAAUGAAUACGAAUAUAUAUUAAUUCCGUAUCAUGAAAUGUUUUAAAGUCGGUUGGGUUUAAGAGAUUUGACCAUGAUUAUGUGUAUAUACAUGUGUUAGUUCGAAAGUUGUGUCAGGUCCGGUAAUGCCUCGUAACCCCAUUUCGGCGACGGAUACGGGUUAAGGGUGUUACAAUGAUACUUAAGUGAUUAGAUCGUUCCAAUUUUUCAUACAGAGCAAGAUCAAUUUAUGUGUUGGUUUUAGUAAUAUGUGGCUCAGAUUUUCUUGUGGCAUAGUCAAUAUCCAAGCACCCCAACUAGAGAAGAAUACUCUCCUUCCAGUUUAAAGUUCUCACUAGUUAAUUUAGGGAUGUCUAGUUUAUUAUCAAACAUAUUCACUGGUUGUAAAACUACAAAAUGAAUAGACAUACAUGCUUAACAAAAAUUUGAGGCAAACAUAAAUCAUAAUUGACCAAUGCAAAUUAUGUAUAUAAUGAAUCUAGUGUCAUAAAAAUUACCUGUAGGCUAAAUUUUUAAUUCAACUAGAUCAAUUUUAUGAUAGAAUUAUUUACUAUCCUUUUGAUAAAAAAUAUUAAAUUCAUUUUCAUAAUCCCGGUAAGUAACUAUAAAAGGUCAUCUAAUAAUUUUAUCUUAAUAAAUUAUGCAAUGGGAUUUAAUACCUAUGUUGUCCGAAUGUGAUUUUUAACUUUAAUAUAAUUUUAUUUAACAAAAGAUGUUGUAGCUAGUCUUUAACUAAAUAAAGUUAUGAAAAUCACUUAACUAGAUAUUAAUUCUUAAAAUUUAUUCAAGAUUGUUGCUAAGUCAUUAUGCAACAUCUAAUGUCUAUAAACCUUAUGAGAUCCUUACUACAAUAAAUAAUUUUAUUGCUAAUAUUGUGACUAAUUCUCUAAUUAAAUAAAAUUAUUUGAAUCCCCAGACAUAUAUUCUAAAGUUUUAUUGCUAAAUACCUUAUGCAAUAAGUCUAAAAUUUUUAUGCACCUAAAAACUUAUGUAAUUAAUAACCAGAUAAUUCACGUACAACCAUUUACUUCAGGCACAUAAAAAAUAUUCAAAUAACAAAUUUCUAAAAUUUUUCUUUAAAUUAUUUAUAACAUAAUUAAUUUUAGAAAUUUUACUUUAAUAAAAUCUAAUGAUUAAUUCAAAGAAACAUGACAUUGUUAUUUUGAGAAAUUUACAAACUUUUAAAACAGGAUAAGGCGGAGAUUUAUCAUACUCUGAUACCAAAUGGUAGCAUAAAUAACAAAUUACAAUAUAAAAUAAUGGAAAAGAUCGACAUAAAUACCUCCAACUAUUAUUUGAACCAAAUGUCAAAAUCCAAAUAUUGUUACACCACUGCCAAGCACGCCAAACCACCGACGAGCACGUAAAAUUUAACUAUACGAAAAGCUGAAAAUUGUCAAAAUCUUCUAAGUACUCGAAAACCUCACUAGAUGGUGUAUAUAAUUCCUUAUCUUUGAAAUGGAAUUGCUUUAGUUUUUUUUUGGUGUUUAGGGAUCUUAUGUUAGUUGGUAUUUAUAGUGGUAUUUAUAGGAAUCUUAUGUUAGUUGGUAUUUAUAGUGGUAGUUCCCAAUAAAAAAUUACCAACUAUACAUCUCAUUAUCUCACAUACAAAGACAUGGAAGUUGAGGGCAACAAAAUUGGGAAUGGACAGCAAAACGUGGGGGUUAUUCUCACAAACUAAUAACAGUUCUAACUACACAUCUCAUUAUCUCACAUACAAAGACAUGAUAGUCCGUGUUAAGGAAUCUUACAUUCUCUUAAUCGUAUUACUAGAGAUUUAUCUUACAUUUCGUCCGAGGAGAAAUGGAAGGAAAGAAAAGUAAGGGAAAAUAAUAUUUUUUUCUUCCUUUGUUUGGAUAGAGUAUUUAAUUUAAGAAAGAGAAAAUAAGCUCUAUUUUCUUUUUACCCACAAGACAAAAGUUUAGGACAUAAAAAUAUAUAAUUGUUGUCAUUUCUUUCUUUUUUAAAUAAAUUUAUGAAUGAUGAAAUUGUUAUAAUGGUAAAAGUUUAUUAUAAUUAAUCAUUUCAUUUCCACUAUUUAACCAAACCAAAAUGAUUAGAAUUACCUUUCCUUUCCUUUCACUAGUUUUAACCAUCUAAAUAAAAUCAUAUGUAAUCAUUUAUUUUUCUUACUUUUACUCUCCUCUACUAUUUUCAAAUCUUUUUAUAACUAAUUAUAUCUUUAUUAUUUUCAAUGAAAAUUGCUAAAUACAAAGAUUGUAAAUUUAAACCAAAUUAAUAGAAUUGAUAAAAAAAAACUAAAGUUACCCUUUUAUUUAAAAUUAAUGUAAUAAAUUAAUCUUAGGGGUUAAUGAAUUUUUCGUCAAACCUCAAAAUAAGUACAUAUUUUUCAUAUCAUAGUAGGUAACAAAAUCGACAUUUAAAAAUUUAAUAAAGAAUGGAAAUUUUAAAUGAUCGACAUUUAAAAAUUUUAAGUAUUUUAUGAAAGAAAAUGGAAAAUUAAAAAAAAAACUUGGGUUUUUUAAAUAAAAAUUUUAAAAUUGCCGUUCAUAAGCAGGGUCAAGAGCCAAGUGGUGGUGGGCAAGACGAACACAAUGACAGCCAGAGCCCGUCAUCGAUUUUGACUUGGUCUUUUAAUUUAUAAAAUUAAAAUUAAAAGGAUUCACAAAUUCUACACCCAAAAGGAGGCAAGCCGAGUAGCCGGUUCGUGGUCGGUGAGCAUUGUCUCGCUACACCACUUGCUCUGGCCCCUCCAUAUAAACCUCUGUUCCCUUGUAUUCAAACCCAAGCCUAGCUUCUCCCGAAAAACAAACUUCUUUUAAUAAAAUUAAAAACUAUGGUGAAGAAGGAACUGUACAUAACCGUACCCAGCGUUUUCCGGUGUCCAAUUUCACUUGACGUGAUGAAAUCUCCGGUUAGCCUUUGUACGGGCGUUACCUACGAUCGUUCCAGCAUCCAAAAAUGGCUCGAAUCUGGUCACGACACCUGUCCAACCACCAUGCAGGUUCUUCCCUCCAAGGAUUUCAUCCCUAACCUUACUCUCCAUCGUCUAAUUAAUCUCUGGAUCCAGUCUUCUACUCUUCGGCCAGGCUCUAACUCUCCACGGCUUCUUCCGGCGACGCCUCCUGCGAUCUCCGAGGUUCAGGCUAAGCUAUUGAUGGAGAAGGUUGAGAGGGAGAGCUGCGACGAUUCUUUGUCUAAGGUUGCCGAGUUCGUAAGCUGUUGCGAAGAGAACCGGAAAUUUGUAGCUAGAUUCGACGGUUUCGUUGAGGUAAUCGCCGGAGUUUUGAAAAGGAAAUGUGCGGAAAUCAAAGCUUUGGAAACGGCGGUUAGGAUUUUGGAUUUGAUUUUGAGCGAAAAUGGAGUCACAGAAGGGUUAAACAAAUUAAUCCUGAAAAGCAAUCAGGAAAGUAAAUUUUUAUCUGCAAUCGUUUUAAUGCUUCAACACGGAAGCCUGAACUCGAAGAUCAAGUCGGUCCGAGUUCUGGACUCACUAGCACUUGACUCCGAAUCCAAACGCAGGAUCUCCGACUCACAAGACCUUAUAUCCAUCCUUCUCGAGCUCCUGAAAACAAACAACAACGGAUCCUUAAACGACGCCGUUACUUCCAUUUUAACCACCAUUUCAAUAACGCGCUCCAUCAGAUCCCGCCUCAUCGAAAACGGCAUCGUUGAAAUCCUAUCAAACU
RNAcentral lists this long non-coding RNA (42756 nucleotides) under Gossypium raimondii (Peruvian cotton). RNAcentral's name for it is "long non-coding RNA (GRAI_LNC003496)". The record is from RNAcentral. Lineage: Eukaryota; Viridiplantae; Streptophyta; Magnoliopsida; Malvales; Malvaceae.